ACAGCAGUAGCCACGGUAAUACGGAGGGGGCUAGCGUUGUUCGGAAUUACUGGGCGUAAAGCGUACGUAGGCGGCUUUGUAAGUUAGAGGUGAAAGCCUGGUGCUCAACACCAGAACUGCCUUUAAGACUGCAUCGCUUGAACGUCGGAGAGGUGAGUGGAAUUCCGAGUGUAGAGGUGAAAUUCGUAGAUAUUCGGAAGAACACCAGUGGCGAAGGCGGCUCACUGGACGACUGUUGACGCUGAGGUACGAAAGCGUGGGGAGCAAACAGGAUUAGAUACCCCUGUAGUCCCUGUCUCUUAUAC
Molecule: ribosomal RNA, 305 nt
Filed under: uncultured bacterium
Lineage: Bacteria
Description: partial 16S ribosomal RNA
Rfam family: Bacterial small subunit ribosomal RNA
Source: RNAcentral